UGUGGUUCAGUGGUAGAGCACUUGCCUAGCACGUGUGAGGCCCUGGGUUCGAUUCUCAGCA
This 61-nucleotide transfer RNA is filed under the name Marmota marmota marmota (Alpine marmot). It matches the Rfam family "tRNA", at positions 6 to 65 of the family's 71-position model. From Rfam's summary of the family: Transfer RNA (tRNA) molecules are approximately 80 nucleotides in length. Their secondary structure includes four short double-helical elements and three loops (D, anti-codon, and T loops). The record is from Rfam by way of RNAcentral. RNAcentral also lists the same sequence under 3 other names. Lineage: Eukaryota; Metazoa; Chordata; Mammalia; Rodentia; Sciuridae.